Molecule: unclassified non-coding RNA, 819 nt
Filed under: Hevea brasiliensis (rubber tree)
Lineage: Eukaryota; Viridiplantae; Streptophyta; Magnoliopsida; Malpighiales; Euphorbiaceae
Source: RNAcentral
CAUUAUGCAAGCUUUUGAAUAAUAACUUCAGUGAGUUGUGAUAUAUAACUGAAAAUUAACUUAACGUCCAGAAAAUCUCUUGCGGCCCAUAUAAUGUAACCGCUUUUAACAUUGUAUGUACAGACAACUCAACAACUAGAUCUUCCAUCAGUUUACUUUAGUCCAAGUGAAAACAGAAUAGGGGGGGACAAAAGACGAGACGUUAGCUCAAAAAUUGAAAUCUUUAAUAUUUAUUUCAAACAAGAUUUGACGCUGACGCUCCUUGUGUCCAAAAUCAAUCAAUUUCAUCAGACCCCAUCAGUAGUGUUGUCUUAUAGAAGAGAAGACUAACACUAUUGUCCAAGAUUUCCAAGAAGUCGCUCUACAGCAGCAUGAACAUUGCCACCGGAGGCAGUCAGUGCCCGGAUAUUUUCUUGAGUGUCAAAGAAACCCAUUUCUUGUAACUGCGUUAGCUGAGUAGCAUAUAAUUCCUCUGGGGGCACAUUAGAUCUGUUAGGGACACCCAAGCCCCCGGUCCCAAGUCCACCAAACAUGUUCAUAAGCAUUUCCAUUCCCGAGUUGUCAAGUGCUGCUCCACCAGCAUUUUGGCCCGGCUGUUGGUUUGUUUGCUGACGCCCAAGUUGAGAUGCAAGUCCUUGCUGGAAAGUCAUAAGUUGCUGCACUGUCUCAGGCGAUGUCAAUUGACGAAUAAAUUCAGGAUUUUGCAUCAUUUCUCUGAGCUGUGGAUUGGAAUCAAGCAUGCUUCUAAGCUGUGGGUUCAUCCCUAAAACCUGGUUCAUGUACUGUGGAUUUGAAAGGAGAGACUGCAUCAUCUGUGAG